RNAcentral lists this unclassified non-coding RNA (612 nucleotides) under Atriplex deserticola. Its description in RNAcentral is "sequence contains ITS1, 5.8S rRNA gene, ITS2". The stretch from base 229 to 384 matches the Rfam family "5.8S ribosomal RNA". The record is from RNAcentral. Lineage: Eukaryota; Viridiplantae; Streptophyta; Magnoliopsida; Caryophyllales; Amaranthaceae.
UCGAAACCUGCCCAGCAGAGCGACCAGAGAACGUGUUUAUCAUGAACGGGGUCUGGGCGAAAGCCCCUUCCUCAAGCCGGGGAAUCGSUUCGCCUCGGCGGUGCGUCCUCCCCGGCACAAUAACGAACCCCGGCGCGGUCUGCGCCAAGGAACAUGAAUACAAGCGUGCCCUUCCGCAACAGGUUCGCCUGUUGUGGACGUGGCACCAAGUCGUAUAUAACAUUAAACGACUCUCGGCAACGGAUAUCUCGGCUCUCGCAUCGAUGAAGAACGUAGCGAAAUGCGAUACUUGGUGUGAAUUGCAGAAUCCCGUGAACCAUCGAGUCUUUGAACGCAAGUUGCGCCCGAAGCCUUUAGGUCGAGGGCACGCCUGCCUGGGCGUCACGCAUCGCGUCUCCCCCCACCACCCUGUGUGGAUGGGGAGGAGGAUGAUGGCCUCCCAUGCCUCACCGGGCGUGGAUGGCCUAAAUAAGGAGCCCCCGGUUACGAAGUGCCGCGGRGAUUGGUGGAAUACAAGGCCUAGCCUAGGAUGAAACGGUAAUCGCGCACAUUGUAGCUCUUGAGGACUCGCAGGACCCUUACUUGUUUGCCCUUAGGGGCGGCAAAACCGUU